AUGUACCACGCGUACACUGCGGUUCUGAGCGCGCCGUCCGCGCCCACCUGACGACUGCUCGCUACGUUUUGUAGCC
This 76-nucleotide small RNA is filed under the name Xanthomonas euvesicatoria. RNAcentral's name for it is "sRNA sX9". It matches the Rfam family "Xanthomonas sRNA sX9". The record is from RNAcentral. Lineage: Bacteria; Pseudomonadati; Pseudomonadota; Gammaproteobacteria; Lysobacterales; Lysobacteraceae.